AUCUCACUAGAAUUCACAAUAUUCCAAAUUUCAGGAUUUGACUUGAGAUAUGCCAAUACUACUCUGGUUCUAGGAGUUUUCUCUGGACAUGUAUACAGUGCAUUCAGAAUAAUUGGGGUUUUUACAGCAAUUACACACACACUGCUAGCACACAGUUAUGCAAAACGGUAACAAGGGUGGGAGAAAUAUGGCUGCAGUUAGAAAAAGAGGUAAAUUAACUCUAUUUAAAAGGACCACACAUGGGGCGUUUGAAUUGGAGUAAGCCAGUAAACGUGGAAUAUUCGUUAGCCAUGUAAACAGUUCAUCAUGUAGAGCUCAUAGUCUAAUGAUUAAAUAAUGCUCCUCAAUGCAACCUCAAUUUGUGUCGAGACCAUUUUCUUGACUUUCCACAGGGCCAUCUCCACAGUGUACUGCAUUUGAUAUGUCCAGCUCACUUAAUUAUUUUGCAAUUAAAGCCUUAAAACUAGCCGUUCUUUUACAGUGCUAGAUCAUAUCACACGCACAGGGCCCUGGGAGCAUAGCUGAUCUCCUGCUCAUGUUAACACUAAUCAAAUCAUCACAGUGUGUCUGAUAAGUGCCACAACACAAGCCGAAACUGCUGAGUGAGUGACAUAGUAUAGUGUUUGGCUAGCUUGGUUCUUUGAGGCAGAGGAGGCAGUUUCAAACGAAUGAAACUGAUUACUUUUCGGGAAUUACAUAUAGUAAAAUGACAACACCAUUAGUCAAAUAAUGCAUUGUGGGUAAAGUGUGAUUCUGUGCAGCCAAGCGACGUUCUUAACGGUCCCGCGCUAACGAGAUGCGUCUUUAUGACGGCACAACAGCGCUGAGUCACACUCUGCUGGCGGCCAUCUUCCAUCGUUUUUCUCUCUAAUCUCCGCAUUAAAUGUCCAUUUGAUUGAACACCGCCCUACUCUCUGAUUGGUCGAAUGUCCUGCCAAUCUCUUGACGCCUUUCUCAGUCUUUUUUCUGAUUGGUCCAGAGCGCCAGCCCGUCAAAACGAUGUCACGCAGGUCAUCUCGUCCGCUAACUCGUCCUCCUCGCGGCCCGUCCUGAUUGGCUCCUCGUCGCUGUAGAGCAUGGCGGGGUCGGCGGCGGCGUUAGCGAGGAGAGACGGGUUUCCCGAGCCGAGCAGAUCGCUGGCGGCCGACUCCAUUUCAUCCACCGUCAUGUGACACGCGUCGGCGAUCUCCCGCUUCGCAAACGCGACAAACUUCGGAUCCCGAGCGUAGAGGCCGAGACCCUCGGAGAUCAGAACCUGCAGAGAGCAGAACAAAGACUCAGUGACGGAAGUUUGAUUUUACUCAUCAAUAUGUACUAUUUGAAACUACUCUGGACCCGCACUUGCUCUAAGAUGUAUUCAUAAUUAUCUUCACUUAUAUCUGUAUUUGUGUACUCCAGUGGAUGGAAGUACAUUUAUUCAAGUAUUAAGUACUUUUUCGACAUAUUAGAUUUUUCCCCCUUUAAUCUACUUCUACAUUUCAGAGGCUGGUAUUGUGCUUUUACUCCACUUUAACGUUCACAUUUAGUAGUUACUUUUUUACAUAUAAAAACAUAUUAUAUGCUGAUAUGGUAUAAUGCAGUACUGUACUACUGAUCUACACUAGCAUUUAUGUACUUUAAGGCCAUAGUGCUUGUACUUUUACUUAAGUAAAGGAUCUGAAUACUUCUUCCAACACUGAUGAACACUCAUCUACUGUUACCAUUCCUGUCCUGUGUUUCACUCUUAUUGCUGCUCUGAUCUAAAUGUGCCUGUGGGGAUUAAUAACGGUCUAUUUGAGCUAAUAUUAUGUUCAUAGCAUCGUUUCCUCACCGCCUCCACCAGACUGUCGGCCGAUCCUCGUUUCUCAGUGAGUUGAGCGCCGAGCUGUGAGGGAACUCUGAGGGUGGUGUACGCUCUGUACGGAGGAGGAGCUGCAACGACAUGUCAAACGUCCAAAAACACCGUAAAGAGACAUACUCAGGAUUGGCCACCGUACCAGGCCGGUCUGGGUGUUGCACCUGUGAUGUUGACACCUGAUAAAGGAAAGGAAAACAGUGAACAAAUACAUUUAAGGAUGAGAGGAGCGUAGAGGAGGCGACCGCGGCGAGGACACGGGUUAGCCCAGGACGCUGAGGAUGCCGCCGAUGAGCGACCGGAGGAUUGACGGGACUCGUAAUUGUUGACGGUGUGCUGAGGAAGAAGUGAAGGAGAUGAGGGUUACACCAGAUUCUUUUGCCCCAUGGUCACAAAAGUAAAUACUUUAUACCCAUUUUUAACAGGCCACAUUUCCUCCACCACUGUGAGAAACUGAACUUUAUUAAAGACCAAGUUUCUGAUUUGUCAGUCUCAGAAACACACUCUUGAUCUUUAAACAUAAUGUGUUACAGUGAGUCAAACUGCUGUAAAAUUUGAAGCUAACAUCCACUCACAUUUGGAAAUGACUGGCUCAAAAGUGUUCAUAAAGCUCAACAUGUUUGCUAUCUGUGUAGAUAUCUAAUGAUGGUAAAGAAAUGUAUAAAUAUGAGACCACGCCCAUUUAGGAGACAGGAAGUGGAUACCCUUUCAUACCAAUGUUGCAGAUUUUAUUAUUCUAUUUUAUAGAAUAUGUUUGGUUACACGUGUGUGUGUGUGUGUGUGUGUUAUACCUGUCCACGUGCACGGCGUGGUGGUGAGGUGGGGUGGUAGGUGCCGGGGAUCGGCAGGUCGUCACUACUGCCCUGCCUCCUCAGACACUGGAUGUUAAAUGACGGCUUCCGACCUGACAGACAACAAACAAACAAAUAAACAAACAAACAA
Molecule: long non-coding RNA, 2776 nt
Organism: Eleginops maclovinus (Patagonian blennie)
Lineage: Eukaryota; Metazoa; Chordata; Actinopteri; Perciformes; Eleginopidae
Exons: 3
Source: RefSeq, a predicted model, not a curated record